CCUACGGGUGGCUGCAGUGAGGAAUAUUGGUCAAUGGACGAGAGUCUGAACCAGCCAAGUAGCGUGAAGGAUGACUGCCCUAUGGGUUGUAAACUUCUUUUAUAAAGGAAUAACACGCGGCACGUGUGCCUUUUUGCAUGUACUUUAUGAAUAAGGCUCGGCUAACCCCGGUCCAGCAGCCGCGGUAAUACGGAGGAUCCGAGCGUUUACCGGAUUUAGUGGGGUUAAAGGGAUGGUUGAUGGGUUGUUAAGUUAGUUGGGAAAGUUUGCGGCUCAACCGUAAAAUUGCCAUUGAUACUGGCAGUCUUGAGUACAGGUGAGGUAGGCGGAAUGCGUGGUGUAGCGGUGAAAUGCUUAGAUAUCACGAAGAACCCCGAUUGCGAAGGCAGCUUACUAAACUGUGACUGACAUUGAUGCUCGAAAGUGUGGGGAUCAAACAGGAUUAGAUACCCUUGUAGUC
RNAcentral lists this ribosomal RNA (460 nucleotides) under uncultured bacterium. Its description in RNAcentral is "partial 16S ribosomal RNA". It matches the Rfam family "Bacterial small subunit ribosomal RNA", at positions 338 to 795 of the family's 1533-position model. The record is from RNAcentral.